RNAcentral lists this ribosomal RNA (259 nucleotides) under uncultured prokaryote. Its description in RNAcentral is "partial 16S ribosomal RNA". It matches the Rfam family "Bacterial small subunit ribosomal RNA", at positions 524 to 782 of the family's 1533-position model. The record is from RNAcentral.
UACGGAGGAUGCGAGCGUUAUCCGGAUUCAUUGGGUUUAAAGGGUGCGUAGGCGGUUCUUUAAGUCAGUGGUGAAAUCCUGCGGCUCAACCGUAGAACUGCCAUUGAAACUGAAGAACUUGAAUAUAGUUGAGGUAGGCGGAAUGUGCAGUGUAGCGGUGAAAUGCUUAGAUAUUGCACAGAACACCGAUUGCGAAGGCAGCUUACCAAGCUAUUAUUGACGCUGAGGCACGAAAGCGUGGGGAUCGAACAGGAUUAGA